UGAAUCAGAGAGUGGGUGAUUCC
This 23-nucleotide non-coding RNA is filed under the name Rattus norvegicus (Norway rat). The record is from RNAcentral. Lineage: Eukaryota; Metazoa; Chordata; Mammalia; Rodentia; Muridae.